UGCUCAUCCAGCAGUGACGAUUUUGCAUGGU
RNAcentral lists this non-coding RNA (31 nucleotides) under Homo sapiens (human). Lineage: Eukaryota; Metazoa; Chordata; Mammalia; Primates; Hominidae. The record is from RNAcentral.